UAAUUUUUAGUUAAUUAUCCUACUAUUUUAAUAAUUCAAAAUUAAUGUCAAAACAAAAAGAACAUAAAAAAACAAAAGAACAGAUAAUAAGAGAAUCACUAUUCGGGUGUUUUGAAAAUAAAGUAUUUUUAAAAAUAAUUAAUUAAUUAGUAGUGUACUUGAUGAUUAUAACUUUUUUUAUAUUUUAUUGAAAUUAUUUAUGUUUAUUUAAAUUAAUUAUAAAAGGGUUUAAAAACCACAAAGGCUAAAAAUGCAAAUACCUAAUUCAAUACAAAUGGCUAUUUUUUAAAUUGUUUUAGCCCAAACUGACCUGAUCCAGUCCACACAACCCCAUCUACUCAACCUUGGCAAUCUAGGCUACCCUCCCAAAGCCAAUCAAACUCCGCCAUGUCACUUGUCCCAAUUCACUAACAAAACAAAUACAACUCAUCCUGACCGUUGAUUUAUAUCUUCAACGGAGCAUGAUUAAUCCCAUUUUCCAUUAGUUUUUAAAAGCCCAUCUCAUUUUAUCUCCACCGUUGGAUCACAAGAAUCCAAUGACCAUCGAUUUGAUCCAACGGCUCCCGUUCCAUUUCUUAUUUUUAUCUCUAGAGACGACUAACCCCAACCCCAAACCCUAAUUCAUUUACCCUGCUCACCUAGCAGCCCCUUUUCUCUUUCCUCUCUCUAUUCUCUCAAAUCGUAGACCCAUUAAUCCCAGAAACCUUGUGCCUUCUGACUCCUCGAAUCUCAUCGGUAUCUCCCUAUUACAUCAUAUGAAUUUGAAAUCUCAUGUUACUUACACUCAAAGAUGAAACUUCAUGUCUUCAAGAUCUUCUGGUGCUACAACAAAAUCAGAGCAUGCAUGGCAUCUCAUUAUGUUUAUUCGAAACCAGAGGUACCUCUGGAUUUCCGGUCUUUGUGCGAUGGUAUUUCUUGCCUGCAACGACUCUCUUCAACUCAGGUAAAACUCCUAUGAUUUUCCCCUAUGAUCUUUGGAUUUUCACUCAUUUUGCUCGCAUCAUCAAUCUCUCCAUCACUCUCCACUAUCAAUUUGAAUUUUUGUGGAACCCUAAGGCUUCAAUGGCCACUAUAAAUAAAGCCUUCAAUGCUCUCACCUAACACGACCUACCACCUAAUACAAUAUAGAAAAUGAAAGAGAAUUAAAAACCCCUAAACUUCUCACUGAUUUUAUUUUCUUUCUCCGGUUCUGAGUUUAUACGCAGUCUAGGCUUGAGGUUUGGUUUCUUAGCGGCUAAAUAAAAGGUUUCGCUUGGUUUUAUGCUCUGCGAAAGGUCAGUGUACACCGAUCCUUCUUUUCCCUUCAGUUAUGUGUGUUUAUCUAGUGAUUUUGAUGUUUUCUCUUCGUUCAUAAUGCAUGUUUGAUAAUUUCUAUAUGGCCUAUUAUAUUCUUUGCCAUUCUUAUUAAGUUAAAUGCUUUUCCUCAUGAUAAUCCAUGGUUGCUUUAGUGUUGCUUUGUAACCUGUGACUUAAUUAGAUAACACCCGCUAUAAUGAAAUGGCAAAAAAUACUGUUGAACUCUUGUUACUAGUUUAAAAGGCUUCGGAUGUUCUUUUAACCCUAUCAUCAUGCUUACUUGACUAAACUGUGAUCUCAUACCCAUAUGAUGUUUUGCUAGGAACUUAUGUUUGCUGCUUCUGUAUUACACUAGUUAUAAGGUUAAUUAUGUUAUACUAUUAUUGAUCCAUGUCAUGCUUAAUAUGUUCUGUCAUGUUUUGAUUCUUGAAAAACAUCAUUCUGUAAUGAGCUUGAGUGUCCUCUAUUAGUCCUUGUCUGAAGGAUUCAUGUCUAAGCCGCUAUACUUUUAUUGCUUCAUAGAAGAGUAAGUUGAACUUGCCAGUUUUGACAGCUUAAAAAAUAGAGAAUUUGAGGAGAGAAGCUAUUGUUGGCACUCAUAGGCUUAAACAAAUUCUUAAUGUCUGUUUGCCCAGUUAAAAUAAAUACUAUUCUAUAUUAAUUGAUGACCUCUGUUUGUGUAGGUUUAGUUAUGAAUAUGGAUGUUUUGAUUAAGAAUUUAAGGAACUAAUGAUCCUACUACAAAGUUUCAAUCAUGCUAAGAUUGACCUUCUUGUCUACAUUUAUAUCACUCCCUGAACUGAUCAUACCAAGUUAAACUUUAUCAUGUUUGGGCUGAUGCAUUCACCUGUGUAACUGGACUAGUCAUCUUACUAUUUCUACCCUGCUUAUUCCAUGUGAAACCUCCUUUGUUCUAAACUUUUAUAAUUAAUUUAUUGGAUUGACCCUAUACUCCAUCAUGCUGUAGUUUUACACUCCUUAGGGAUAUCUUUGCAUGAGCUUGAUUGUCUGCUCUUGGACUGCUGUACUCAUUCAUGUUAUCAAACAAACUCUCUGCUUAUAUUUCAUACGCAUUCUUAUGUAUUUUAUUGCCCUAUCACAUAAUGAAUAUUGAACCUUGCUAUGUUUGUAUAAGUGAACUAUAAUUCAUUUGUGGAUUUGAGAGAGCAUUCUAAUGAUAUGUGUUCAGCUCAAGUAGAAUAUUAUGCCUCGACUCUUAAUGAACCCAAUGAGAAUGUGAUAUCAGGAAUGUUUUAAGGAGAAAGCAAUCACCUAUUAGAGUUGAAAUCAAUUUGCUAACUUACAUACUCCUUUUGAUGCUCUCUAAAGUUCCUAUAUAAAACUGUUAAUUCAUACAUCCAUUAGAAUCCAAGACUUGACCUGCGUACAAAUCCCUGAUCAACUUAAGCCUGGAACUGUUAAGCAUGAGGAUCCCCUAUAAAUCUGAACUAUGUACCUCUUUUAUUUCAUACUGCCUGACUCAAUAGUUUGACUUUUCGAAAUGAUCAGCCACUAAUCUUUUCCCUUAAUUAUACAUGUUAUCGUUUUCUUUGGAUGUUCUUCUACAUAUUGGUGGUUCUUAGCAAUGAACUACACAUUGGUGUUUGAAUUGUGAUUUCUUUAGUAUUAUCUGUUAUUACAUUUUCCCAGUAACAUUAAGUAUAGUUUCUAUUGGAAGUACACAUUCCUAAGCUUGUGUAUGAUUGUUAUAGUUGUACUUAAAUUUACAAUGAAGGCCUUAUUGGCAUUUAAACCUAUAGGGAGGAGUAAAUGUGAAUUGUUAGAGGUAUUUAGGAAUGAGAUUUGGUUUGUAGUUGAGAUACUCUCCCUGACACAUUCACUCAUCGGGGUCCUUGAAACCCUUGUGAACUUUGAAGUGCCAGUGGCUCAAAGAGUGUCUUUGAUAUAAAUGGAAUGUCAUGUUAAGCCCUUAAUCAUUGACAUUUGCUAAUCACUUAGGGGUUAGUGUUUAAUGAAGAGAAAGGCUUCAUUGUAAUUUUCCAUACUCUGCUCGAUCUUACACAGUCUUAUUUACAUUUCUCCACCACAAAUAUUUGUUAUAGUCUCAUGUGGACCUUACGUUUGAUCUUAUCUACCUUUAAAUAUUUUUUUUGGGUUUUUGUCACUAAUUUCUACCUUUUUCUCUAGAAUAUGUAACUGAUCUGGGCCUACUGAGUUUUCAAGAACUCAGGCCCAAGUUCAAGCUUUUAGUUUGAAGUCAUGGGAGCCACUGCUGCUUGUCUGCUGUUCGCUGGGCCUAACCUUCUUCAGAACCAGAUUACUGAGUCCAAUUCCCUUUCCUUCCUCAAUAGAUGAAUUGAAUCUAUUAUCUUUUCUUUACAUGAGUAUAAUACUAACGAUAUUGAUUGAAUAUUUUAUUUUUUCUCAAAGGUUUUAGGAGCCUAGGAAAUCCAAGAUCCAUAGGUAAUAAAAUAAAUCACUAUUACAUUACGAUCAGUUAUAAAGUUUCGGCGCUUUGAUCAUUUAUUCUUCAUUACAUAAGAUUUCACUUUUAAUUAUACUAACUAUUUUAAUGGAGUUCUUUGAAGUUCAAAACAGAUUUUGAAAAGUAAAUACAAUUCUUCUUCUAAUGCCGAAAUUAAAAAAGAAGAUUUCAAAGUCAGCUCUUUCUAUAAACAAAAAUCAACACGAUUGGAGUCAAGACUGUUAAACCUUUCAAUGAUUUUUCUUCAAACAUGCUGCUACAAAUUGAAAAACAUUUCCAAAGGUAUAUGCAAGGCCCAUUUCCAAUAGUCGUUACUCUACUAGACCCUUUUACAAGUAACUAUUUUGUAAAGUGUUCAAACAUAGACACAUCUUAUACCUUUGCAAAAUCUUGUAGAUGUAAACAUUUCAAAUGGUUUUUACAAAUUAAACUUAUCUAUUCUUUUUAAAGUACAUAUAUUAUUUCCUUUCAAAAUGUUAAGUAUUUAAAUAUGACAUAGGUAAGCCAUACACUUUAAGCUCUAAUUAAGCAGAAUAUAGACAUCUAAUUCCUUAAACCUAGUCUAAGUCCUAUGGAGCUACCUCGGAUAGAUUUUAGGGGUUGCCUAACACCUUCCUCUUAGAAGAAGAAGAACUCUUACCCAAAUCUCAUCGGUCAGUAGACUAAAAGGAUAAUGAUCUUAAUAAUUAAAUAGGUACCUUAGUAUACCUUUAAAUAUUAGGUGGAGACUGUUUUUUAACAUUAGCAAGGAAGCCACUAGUUGAAUCUUAUUUUGACUCGCACAAAAUAGGAUACAAAAAUACUUACCUCAUUCGAGCUAGUCUUCAAUCUCUAAUUGCGUCAAACCUUGAUCUAGCCGACAAAUCGCCCAAAUCCAAGCCAAACAUCAUCCAAAAUCCCAACAAUGUCAUAUGAAGCGAUCACAAUCCAUAAUGCUUCGGUUAUUAUAGAAAUUCUCAAAGUCAACGAGGGCUCGCAUGCCCAAAAUAUGUAUCCUAUACAAAAAGUCAAUGAUCCAUAAUCUUCCGAGUAUAAAUAUAUAAUUAGUUCCCAAAAUCGAGUCCAAAUUGGUACUCAAAUCCCCAAAAUACACUUUCUUAAAGUGUUUACAAAAACCCUAAUUUUUUCUUCAAAUUUAAAUGUUCUUAGUGUAUAAAUACAUGGGAAAACAAUAUAUAUUAAAAAGCAAAGUAGAAAUUACUUACCCUCUCUUCAAGACGAGAAAAAUGUCAUACAAAUCACCCAAAUCCGAGAUCUAGAGCUCCAAAUAUGUAAAAUACCGAAUGGACAAAGUUUGGAAUAUUGAUAGGAGUGAUUUUCGCUACCGCAGAAAAUAAUCUGCUUUUGUAGGUCCUAAGGGCCUAAGAGUCGCUUCUGCAGUGCAAAACUGCUUCAGCAGCCCUUUUUCUGCAAUUGUGGUGCACCAGCACCAACAAUCUUUCCCAAUACUAAAAUGAGCAUAACUCUGUCAUACGACAUCGAAAUUUGAUGAUUCUUGUUGCUAUGGUUCCGAAAUCACUUUAUGGAUCUAAUAUUUCAACCAAAACACAAUUUAGAGCUCACUUGUUUAAUAUGGUAGCAUUUAUGUUUGAAGAAACUAUGUCAAAACAUCAAAUACGAGUGCAACACAACCCAAACCUAUUCGUAACUCAUCGCAAAAACCUGAUGAAACGUUCAAAUCAAGAUUCCGAGCUUGUUAAGUCUACUAUUUGGUUGUGGUGAACUCAAAUUCUUACGCUUAGCUAGUAUACAACUCAAGUGUCCGAAUCAUUGUUAAAUAUUCCGGAUCAUAGCCAAACAUUGCACACAAGUUCUAAUCAACUAAAUGAACCUAUUAAAGGUCUCAAAACACAUGUUUUGAAAUACGAAAUGAAAAUAUUGUCUGAUUAAUAACAACAGUAACUAAAAAGGAAAGAGACUUCAAGGACUAUGAUCAGAAUAUAGCUCUACCUUGUCUCUCGGCAGCUCACGACAAUCACAGACAACUCUCAACUGGGUCCAACACCUAGAUCUGCACAAUUACGUGUAGAGUGUAGUACGAGUACAACCAAGCCCAUAUACUCAACAAGUAUCAUAUCUUACCUUGGCGAGGUAAUAGUGGAAGGAAUUACCAAUGAUACUCGCUAAUAACCUGCUCAGUUCAUGAAUUUCACAAGUACAUAACAAUGGUACAAUCUAAUCAUAAGAAAGCAGAAUAAAAUCACAUUGGUUAAUAAAGAGAUAAUGUGCCAUGCCCUGUAUAAGUUAUCAAUCAAGCAUAUAAAGAAGAGAUGCAAUAACAAAACAAUGAUCAGUUUUCCGCAUACAGUGUGUUACGCCUUGACCUUGGGGAGCGCGACCGGUGCUCAACCAAGAUAUCCAAAUUAAUCAAGCCUACUAGAUUUUUUCCACCCGACCUUACCCAUGAACAAUGCGAAGAUGAAUAUCAUGAGUUAGACAACAAAAGAGUAACAUGUACAACACAAAUUUCAUUUCUUUUAGAAACCCCAUUUACAGUUCCCAAAAUACAUUACACAUUCAUAGUUUAGAAGUGAAAAUAUGUGUUACAAGUACAACAUUUCUAGUUUGACUUUCUUAAAUACAACCCACACUAUGUCUACGAAGCAUCUAUUUGAUACAAAAGAGUAAUAUGAUAAUGCCGAGGACAAGGCCCUGGCUAUACCUCAAAACACUAUACACACGAAGCAAAAGACACAAGACCCCGAUAUGAAGUGGGGCUCACCAAGUCAGCUGAGAAGAGGGUGUACUGCUAUCACUGAUCGAUAUAGCCUGUUGUGGAACCACCUGCAUCCAUUAAUGAUGCAGUAUCCUGGCAAAAGGGACAUUAGUACUGUCUGGGCGGGUCUCCAUACAUGCCCCAUGAACCCUUGGACGCACCCCAUGGCAUCCUCGCAAGCCUCCUAAUGCUUAGCUCCAUGGAAGAAACUAUGGUCUUGGACGCGUUAAGUGACAAGUGCAGCUGUGCCUAUGUCGCCCCGCCGAUAGCACUCACCAUCGCCCAGCCACAAGCAAAUGCCAACAGCAUCGCGCGCGCAAACUCUGAUGCUAAAGAGAAGGUUGUUGCCAACGGACCUGCUUCUGCUUUAUAGGAAUCUAAGUCAUUUCUAUUGUAAAUAUAGAGUAUUUUUACUUUAUGUAUUUCCAUUAUGUCUCCCAAGCUUAGUUAUGUCAAGUCAUGUACGUUUGGUUUAUUUCUUUUUAAGUACAAUAGACCCUUGUGGUACGACCCUUCCCCAGCCCCCACGCAUAGUGGGAGUUGAGUGCACCAGACUUCCCCUACUAUUAGGGGGGAUCAAUCAAUCAAACUUUCUAGCAAGCAAACAAUUUCUUUUAUGUUCACUCAAUUGCACUUUGCAUUGGUUUUCUUGCAUGACACUGACAAUCUCGUCUAGCGUAUGGAGGGGACCCUAGUUGGCGGAUUAUAACUGCACGGACAUUGGUUUCUUAGCCUUACAUCACCCUUCCAAGGAAUAUCAGGAAGUUGCCGCGUGAAAGUUGGUAUCAAAGACCAAACUCGACAUCAAACGAAGGAACACAUUGCCAUUACCACUAUUUCUGACCAUGGUAAAACACAGGGACCGCAUUGUGGCCCUUGAAGAGACGGUUGACGUAUUAUUACCUAUCGUGAAUACGGUGUCUGAUUUAAGAACCAACCUAGUACAAAGGUUGGAUGACCUAGACCACAGGAUGUGGCAGGCCAAAGGUGACAUCGUGAAUAUCAGUUGUGACUCUGAGGGAGACCGGCAAACGAUAGCCACAUGGCAGCCAAAAGUUUUGGUAAAAUCGAGGGCCACCAACAGGAGAGUAUCAAGGAUUUAGCCUACAUGACACAAGAGACAAACAGGGUGACUGCCAUGCAGCAAACUAUAGACAACUUUAUAGGCCAGCUCAAUUAUGUCAAUGUUGCACUACAAGGCCUAAUUCGAGGAGGCGGAAACCAGGUUGGGGGUGCUGUGAACCCCGCCCAUGUGCCAUAAAAGCUGAAGAUUCCUAAGCCAAAACCAUACAUUGGAGCUCAGAAUUCCAAAUAAGUGGAGAACAUUCUCUUCGACAUCGAACAAUACUUUGAUGUUGUGGGUGAGAUAGAAGAAGCAAAAAAGGUAGCAAUUGCUGCCAUGUAUCUUCAGGGUGAUGCUAAACUCUGGUGGCGUGUGAAAUAGAAAGACAUCAGGGUUGGUGAAGAUACUCUCGAGACAUGGGAAGAACUGAAGUCGGCUAUACGCUUACAGUUCUUCCCCGAAAAUGUUGAGUACAAUGCACGGAGAAUGCUACGGGAGUUUUGCCAGACCAAGUUAGUGCGGGAUUACGUGCACGAAUUCUCUGCGCUCAUGCUGAACAUAUGGGACAUGGGGAACAAAGACAAACUCUUCACAUUCCUAGAUGAUUUGAAACCUUAUGCCCAUAUGGAGCUGCAAAGACAAAGGGUAGACACUUUACCCAAGGCGAUCCAAGUUGCGGAAUGCCUUGGGUACUAUCAAGUGGAAGCUCGGAAGGAUAGGCCUCAAUUGCCCGUCCAAGGGGGAUACAAAGGGGGCCAGCCUGGCAAUGGUGGCCCUAGUAGAAGUGGAGGUGAUCGCUGUGCAACCAAAUCUAAGAAACCUUCCUCAGGAAGCAUUAGUGUUGCAUCUAAAAACAACGGUCGGGGGGAGAAAUUCCCCUUCAGGAUGCCGUCAUUGUGGCAGGCCACAUUGGAAAAAUGAAUGCCCACAUGCACAGAUGAAUUCCUAUCAAAAUUUUGUUGAUGGGACGGAUGACAACACAAAUGAUACUGACCAGACCGAACCGAUCGCUGCCUUCAAUGUACUUAUUUGUUCCAUUUCUGAGACCUUAGCGGAAACCAGUACUUGAAUAUGUAAGAAGAAGGACCCAUGCCCCACCACCGAGAAAGGAAAAAAGACAGCGGAUGAGGGGCCUCCUCUUAUCCAAGGGAAGACCUUGAUAUUCGUCGAGAUGAAAGUUAAUGACAAGCACAUUCGGGCGAUGAUAGACAAAGGCGCUACUCACAACUACUUAGCCUCAACUCAGGUAGAACUCCUUGGUCUAGUUGUGGGAAAGGGCAGAGGUCAUGUCACGACUAUUAACUCACCGCCUCAGUCGGUGGGUGGAAUAGCGAAAGGAGUGAUAGUGAAGCUUGGUCCUUAUGAAGGAAAAGUCAACUUAUGCAUAGUGAUCAUAGAUGAUUUCGAGCUGAUAGUUGUGUUGGAAUUCAUGAGGCAAAGCAAAACCAUUCCAGUACCUUAUGCCGACAUGCUACCGAUGAUGGGAGAAAAUGAGGCUAAGCCCUGCAUUAUUCCACGAACAACCAUAAAGAUGGCUGCUGCGAACAUAUCGGCCUUGUAGUUGAAUAAGGGAGUCAACGACCUACAUUCCUGGCCACCCUCUGUAUUGAAGAUAUAGAAAGCUCCUCGGGUCCCAUUCUUACACCCGUGAAAGAGCUGCUAAUGGAGUUUAAAGAUGUCCUGCCACAGGACAUGCCAACAUGACUCCUGCCUAGGCGCACUUUGGACCAUGAGAUUGAGUUGGUUCCAGGUGCGAUGCCACCUGCCCGGGCGCCUUACAGAAUGUCACAACCCGAGCUCACCGAGCUUCCGAGAUAGUUGGCGGAAAUUCUAGACACGGGGUUCAUUGUGCCCUCCAACUCCCCAUAUGGGUCCCCUCUGCUAUUCCAAAAGAAACAAGAUGCCACCUUACGACUCUGUGUGGAUUAUCGGGCCCUAAACAAAAUUAUUGUGAAGAACAAGCACCCUAUCCCGCUAAUGGAAGACUUGUUCGAUAGAUUGGGUGGUGCCAAAAUGCUCACCAAAAUAGACCUGAAGACAAGUUACUAUCAAGUUCGAAUUGCUGAGGAAGAUGAACACAAAAAGGCCUGUGUGACAAGAUAUGGGGCGUACGACUUCCUGGUUAUGCCAUUCGGCUUGACUAAUGCUCUAGCCAAUUUUGCACAUUGAUGAACCAAGUCUUUCGAGAGUUAAUUGACGAGUUCGUAGUAGUCUACUUGGACGACAUUGUGAUAUAUAGCAAAACAUUGGACAAACACUUGGAGCACUAGCAGAAGGUCCUAACCCGACUGCGAGAGCACGAACUAUAUGUGAAGCUGUCCAAGUGGGCAUUCUCCCAAAUAUAAUUUGACUUCCUCGGACAUGUCAUCGAGGAAAGGCGGAUAAAGAUGGACCAAUAGAAGAUUCAGGCUAUCACAUAUUGGCCUUCGCCUAAGCAAAUCCACAUCUUGAGGGUGUCCCUUGGCCUAUGCAACUUUUAUCGAUGAUUUGGGAAGAAUUACUCUCUCAUUGCAUUGCCGUUAACAGAACUCCUAAAGAAAGUCAUGACUUGGGAUUGAGGUCCCAGGCAAGUGCAGUCCUUCAACACAUUGAAAGCGGUUAUGUCUAGUAGCCCCGUCUUAGACCUUUCUGAAUUGGCCAAGCCAUUUGAAGUACAAACGGAUGCCUCUGACUAUGCUCUGGGCUGAGUCUUGCUACAAGAGACGCAUCCUAUGGCGCACGAGAGCCGGAAUGGCUCUAUUCCACCCACGAAGCCUUGCUACAAAAGGAUGUAGAACGACGCUAUGCUACCCACGAAAAAGAAAUAUUGGUUGUCGUCCAUUGCUUACGCCUUUAGAGGCCCUAUCUCAUGGGAACCCCAUUCGUGGUCAAGACAGACAACAUGGCUAUUAGCCAUUUCAUGACCCAGCCAAAGCUGAAUGGCCGAUAGGCCAGGUGGCAGGAACUCCUACUAGAAUUUCACUUCAACCUGGAGUACCGAAAUGGAAAGACCAACUAAGUAUCUGAUGCGCUCAGUUGAAGGGCUAACUUAGCAUCGGUGUGCCUACUCGCCACCCUAAGGUUGAGAGAAGUGGCCACCACUAUAAGAGACCAAAUAAGAUAUCUACUCCCAAAGGAUCCUACUGCAUAGUAUUUGGCCAAUUUGGUAGGAUAGGGUAAGACUCGGCAGUUCUACAUGGAAGAUGGGUUCCUGAGGUUGAAAUGGAUCCGACUUUAUAUUCCUAAAGGAGGAGAUCUGGGAAAGACUCUUCUGAUGGAAUGCCAUUAUACUUUGUGGCCGUCCAUCCAAGUGAAAAAUGCACUAUGGCGUUGUUGCGUCAUGCUUUUUAUUGGCCUCAAAUAGCUUAUGAUGUUGCUCAGUAUGUGAAGACUUGCCUAGUAUGCCAAAAAGACAUGUCAGGCCGCUUGACACAAGCGGGACUUUUGGAGCCAUUGCCAGUUCCAAAGAGACCUUGGGAAAGCAUUUCCCUAGAUUUCAUCACCGGGUUUCCCAAGGUCAGAGAUUUUACAACUAUCUUGGUUGUGGUAGAUCGGUUUUCCAAUUAUGCUACAUUUAUAGCUGCCCCACAAUAUAUAUCAGCAAAAGAUACAGUUCAACUCUUCUUCUCUCAUGUUAUCAAAUAUUGGGGUCUACCUAAAGACAUCAUUAGUGAUCGUGCCUUUCGCUUCAGUAGCAACUUUUGGACUCAUCUCUUUAAGUGCCUCAGGUCAAAAUUGAGCCGCAUUUCAAGUUUCCUCUAUAAUCUGAUGGCUAGACGGAGCAGUUAAUGCAAUGCUAGAGGAAUAUCUCCGCCAUUUUGAUACCGGACCGCAGAAGAAUUGGUUGAAGCUUCUAGUUAGUGCUCAACUGUGUUUCAAUUCACAAAAGAAAUCUAGUAAAAAUAAAAAGUCUUUUGAAAUUGUUAAAGGACAACAACUGCUACUCCCACACACUGUGAAUGCCCCAAGUAUGUUGAAAUCUCCUCGAGCUGCUAGCUUCUCGAAUGAACAUAAGCGAAAUUUGGAGAUAGUGCGCAGAUAUCUUGUCAAAUCCCUGAAUAACAUGUAGGAGACAAAGUGAUGGUGAAAAUUCCAAAGCGGUACUUGUCUACAUGGGUCCAUGACCCUCGCUAAUUUCAAAAGGCAGAUGUUGGGAAAGUUGCAUACGAGGUGGUUACCCUAGCCUAGUGGAAGAUUCAUCCAGUCAUCCAUGUCAGCCUUCUGAAUCUUUUUGGACAGACAUGGAGGAUCCUUCGUGGAGACAAUUCACAAUACAGAGUAUUCGAGGCCCUAAUUCAACCAAGAGAAAAGGUGGGUAGAAGCUAUUUUUGAAGAUAGAGUGAUUCAUGCUUCAAGGAAAGAUCACCAAGAGUUCCUAGAGAAAUGGCAGGGCUGUGAUACAAAGGAGAAUACUUGGGAGAGGGGAACAAACCUCAAAUCCUACAAGAUCCUGAUCAAAAAUUAUCUUGCAAGUAAGGCACCGAGGACGUCGCCAACUCAGGUGGGGGAGAAUGUCAUGGGUGGCUUUCCAGCCAUGCCCAUGACCCCUUGGACGCGCCCCAUGGCGUUCUAGCAAGCCACCCAACGCCUAGCGCCAUGGAUGGCCCAGUGGUCAUGGACGCCAAGUGACAAGCAUGCAUAUGCAUAUGUCGCCCCACCGAUAGCUCUCGCCAGUUCCCAGUUGCAGGCAAAUACCAAAAGCGCCACAUGCGUAGGCAGCACCGCGCGUGCAGACUCUGAUGCUAAAGAGAAAGUUACUGCCAACGGACCUGCUUCUGCUUUGUAGAAAUCUAAGUCAUUUCUAUUGUAAAUAUAGUGUAUUUUUGCUUCAUGUAUUUCCGUUAUGUCUCUCUAGCUUAGUUAUGUCAAGUCAUGUAACUUUGGUUUUUUUUUUAAAGUACAAUAGACCCUUGUGGUACGGCUCUUCCCCGAACCCCAUGCAUAGCGGGAGCUGAUUGCACCGGGCUUCCCCUACUAUUAGGGGGGAUCAAGCAAUUAAACUUUCUAGCAAGAAAAUAAUUCUCUGUACUAGUGUCUCUCCCCUUCUGUAAUAUCUUUCAGUAAUGCAAUCAAGCUUUUUUUUCAUUCUCAAUUUUCUUUUAUUUUCUCUCAAUUACUCUUUACAUUGGUUUUCCCGUACGGAACUGACAAUCUCGUCAAGCGUAUGGAGGGGUCCCCAGUUGGCGGAUAGUAACAACACGUACAUCAGUUACUUACCCUUACGUCUCCCUUCCAAGGAAUCUCAUGAAGGUAUUGCGUAAUAGUAUACAUGGAAUAUUACUAGUAUGUAAAUCUAAACACCCUCUCAAUGAAUAGAGUAAUAGUACAAAAGGAGAGGAACAUGAAAUCAAUGAGAAAACCAAAUAAUAUUAUAACACCAAGUCAAGAAAGAGGUAAAUCUUCAAGAAAUUAUCAAUGCUUUAGGUUGGGAGAUGUUUGGCACCGAUACACCACCAUGCUUAUAACACGGAGUCUGAUCUCUACUCGAUCAACUAAUCCAUCUACAGCAAAGUAUGAGGCUAAACAUAAACAAACAACACAACCAUGUGCGCGGCAUGGCGUCCGAUCUCUGCCCGAUCAGCUAAGCCGUCUCACCACAAUAUCAUGUGGGUCGACAUCGUCUUCUCUAGAUCUCAACAUAACUCAUCCCAGUUAAGAGGAAUAAUCUCAAUAUAAUAUAAUGGGAAUUUAUCCCUCAAUCAAUCCUUAUACCGGUAUGUAUAGUUUCGGGCUUGGGUGUUUAUGGCCCAGACUUUCUCGGUGACCUAACAAUACUCGCAAAAGCAUUUAUAAAAAAAUAAUCAUAUACUUUUCAUAACAUUUCAUACAUUCUUUCAUUUUCAGUGGCACUCUUGGCCUCAUAUGUAAAUUAUCAUUCUUGGCACAAUGGCCGCAUUUCAUAAUUCAUACUUUUCUUCUUUCAUUUCCUUUCAAGGAUCAUCUUAGAACAUUUAAGGAUAUUUGAAACACUAAGAGAAAUUAUAUCUUCAACUCAUAGACAUGUAUGAACUCAAAACACAUUGAGGGACAAGCAUAAAAGUGGAGAAUAGAAUUAUGCAAUCGAAACAUGAAUCAGACUAUAGGGAUUCGGACCAGCUGACGGCAGAAGCAAAUGUUAAUGACGGAAAUAGGAACUUGAUCAAGCCAUAAUCGAUGUUUACAAGAAAUUCGAGGAACCCAAUUCUACGAAAAGAGUUUAGCCAGCAUACCUCUCUUGAGCUUUCCUUAGGUUACUACAACGUUACGAAGCCUCUAGAGACUUCAAUCUAUUAGGGAUAUGACAAAAUAUACCCAUAAUUAGGAAAUAGUUCAUGUGUUCAGUUCAUCUAUGCAUUUUAUCAAGUAGUGUGCAAUUCGACUACAAGGUUUCUAUGGUGGAAUUCCUUCAUCCCACAACCAAUAGUUAACCCAUAUUAGUUCAACAGUCUCCCUGCCACCUUUCUUUGUUGAAUUCUGAAGGCUCUACCAAGGAAUUGAAGUGGAGGCCUUAAACACAUUGAAAGCGGCUAUGUCUAGUAGCCCCGUCUUGGCCCAUUAUGAUUUGGCCAAGCCAUUUGAAGUACAAACAGAUGCCUCUGACUAUGCUCUGGGCAGAGUCUUUCUACAAGAGGGGCAUCUUGUGGCGUACGAGAGCCGGAACGACACUAUGCCACCCAUGAAGUCUUGCUACAAAAGGAUGUAGAACGGCGCUAUGCCACCCACAAAAACAAAUUAUUGCUUAUCGUCCAUUGCUUACGCCUUUGGAUGCACUAUCUCCUGGGAACCCCAUUCAUGGUCAAGAUAGACAACACGGCUAUUAUCCAUUUCAUGACCCAGCCAAAGCUGAAUGACCGACAGGCCAGAUGACAGGAACUCCAAACGAAAUUUUACUUCAAGCUAGAGUACCUAAAUGGAAAGACCAACCAAGUAUAUUAUGUGCUCAGUUGAAGGGAUAACUUAGCACCGGUGUGCCUACUUGCCACCCUAAGGGGGAGCAAAGUGGCAACCACUAUAAGAGACCAAAUUUGAGAUCUUCUCCCAAAGAAUCCCACUGCACAGUAUUUGGUCAAUUUGGUAGGGUAUGGCAAGACUUGGCAGUUUCACAUGGAAGAUGGGUUCCUGAAGUUGAAAUGGAUCCGACUUUAUAUUCCUAAAGGAAGAUAUCUGGGAAAGAAUCUUCUGAUGGAAUGCCAUGAUACUUUGUGGCCGGCCAUCCAGGUGAAAAAUGCAUUAUGGAGUUGUUGCGUCGUGCUUAUUAUUAGCCUCAAAUGCCUAGCUGGACUUUUGGAGCCAUUGCAUGUUCCAAAGAAACCUUGGGAAAGCAUUUCACUAGAUUUCAUCACUGGGUUUUCCAAGGUCAGAGAUCUUACAACUAUCUUGGAUGUGGUAGAUCGGUUUUCCAAGUACGCUACAUUUGUAGCCGCCCCACAAUAUAUAUCAGCAAAAGAUACAAUUCAACUCUUCUUCUCUCAUGUUGUCAAAUAUUGGGGUCUGCCUAAAGACCUCAUUAGUGAUCGUGACUCUCGCUUCAGUAGCAACUUUUGGACUCAUCUCUUUAAGUGCCUUGGGUCAAAAUUGAGCCACAUUUCAAGUUUCCUCUGCAAUCUAGUGGCUAGACAGAGCAGUUCAAUGGCAUGUUGGAGGAAUAUUUCCGCCAUUUUGAUACCAGAUCGCAGAAGAAUUAGGUGAAGCUUCUGGUUGGUGCUCAACUGUGUUUCAAUUCACAAAAAAGCUCUAGUACAAACAACAAGGUUUUUGAAACUGUUAUCGGAUAACAACUUCUACUCCCACACACUGUGAAUGCCCCAAAUAUGUCAAAAUCUCCUCGAGUUUCUAGCUUCUCGAAUGAACAUAAGCGAAAUUUGGAGAUAGUGCGCAAAUAUCUUGUCAAAGCCCAAAAGCGGAUGAAAAUACAUGCUGAUCAAAAUCGUUGCUUUGUCGAAUAACAAGUAGGAAACAAAGUGAUGGUGAAUAUCCCAAAGCAGUACCUGUCUAUAGAGGUCCAUGACCCUCGCCUAUUUCAAAAGUACUUUGGACCCUUGUCCAUUGAGAAGCGCCUUGGGAAACUUGCAUACGAGGUGGUUACCCUAGCCUAGUGGAAGAUUCAUCUAGUCUUCCAUGUCAGCCUUCUGAAAUGUUUUCGGGAAGAUAUGGAGGAUCCUUCGAGGAGCCAAUUCACAAUACCUAGCAUUCAAGGCCCUAAUUCAACCAAGAGAAAAGGUGGGUAGAAGCUAUUCUCAAUGAUAGAGUGAUUCAUGCUUCAAGGAAAGAUCACCAAGAGUUCCUAGGGAAAUGGCAGGGCUAUGAUGUAGAGGAGAAUACUUGGGAGAGGGGAACAAACCUCAAAUCCUACAGGAUCCUGAUCAAAAAUUAUCUUGCAAGUAAGGCACCAAGGACGUCGCUAACUUAGGUGGGAGAGAAUGUCAUGGGUAGCUUUCCAGCCAUGCCCCAUGACCCCUUGGACGCGCCCCAUGGCGUUCUAGCAAGCCUCCCAAUGCCUAGCGCCAUGGAUGGCCUAGUGGUCAUGGACGCCAAGUGACAAGUGUGCAUGUGCCUAUGUCUCCCCACCGAUAGCCCUCGUCAGCGCCCAGCUGUAGGCAGAUGCCAACAGCGCUGCGUGCGCAGGUAACACCGUGUGUGUAGACUCUGAUGCUAAAGACAAGGUUGCUGCUAACGGACCUAUUUCUCCUUUGUAGGAAUCUAAGUCAUUUCUAUUGUAAAUAUUGAGUAGUUUUACUUCAUGUAUUUUUAUUAUGUCUCUCUAGCUUAGUUAUGUCAAUUCCUAUAAUUUUGGUUUAAGUUUCUAAGUAUUAUUAGGGGAGAUCAAGCAUGCAAACAAUUCUUUAUAUUGGUGUCUCUCCCCCUCAACACCGUGUUUCUUUUCUGCAAUAGCUUUUAUUAAUGCAAUCAAGCUUUCUUUCAUUCUCAAUUCUCUUUCUUGUUCUCUCAAUUGCUGUUGACAUUUGUUUUCCUGUACGGCACUGACAAUCUCGUCAAGCGUACAAAGGAGUCCCCAGUUGGCGGAUAGUAACUGCACGAACAUCAGUUGCUUACCCUAACGUCGCCCUUUCAAGGAAUCUCAGGAAGGCGUCGUGUAACAGUACACAUGGAAUAUUACUAGUAUGUAAAGCUAAACACCCUCUCAAUGAAUAGAGUAACAGUAGAAAAGGAGAGGAACAUGAAAUCAAUGAGAAAACCAAAUAAUAUUAGAACAGCAAGUCAAGAAAGAGGUAAAUCUUCAAGAAAUUAUCAAUGUUUUAGGUUGGGAGAUCUUUAACACCGAUACACCACCAUGCUUAUAGCACGGAGUCUGAUCUCUACUCGAUCGGCUAAUCCAUCUCACAGCAAAGUAUGAGGCUCGACAUAAAAAAAAAUACAACCAUUUGCACGGCAUGACGUCUGGUCUCUGCCCGAUGAGCUAAGCCGUCUCACCACAAUGUCAUGUGGGUCGACAUCGUCUUUGCUAGCUCUCAACUCAACUCAUCCCAAUUAAGGAAAAUAAUCUCAAUAUAAUAUAAUGGGAAUUUAUCUCUCAAUCAAUCCCUACACCGGUAUGUGUAAUUUCGGGCUUGAGUGUUUAUGACCCAGACUUCCUCGGUGACCUAACAAUACUCCCAAAAGCAUUUAUAAAAAAAUGAUCAUAUACUUUUCACAACAUUUCAUACUUUCUUUCAUUUCCAGUGGCACUCUUGGCCUCAUAUGUAAAUCAUCGUUCUUGGCACGAUGGCCGCAUUUCACAAUUCAUACUUUCAUUCUUUCAUUUCCUUUCAAAGAUCAUCUUAGAACAUUUAAGGAUAUUUUAAACACUGAGAGAAAUUAUAUCUUCAGCUCAUAGCAAGUAUGAACUCAAAACACAUUGAGGGACAAGCAUAAAAGAGGAGAAUAGCAUUAUGCAAUCGAAACAUGAAUCUGAUUAUAAGGAUUUGGACCAGCUGACGACAGAAGCAAAUGUUAAUGAUGGAAAUAGGAACUUGAUCAAACCGUAAUCGAUGUUCCCAAUUCUACAAAAAGAGUUUAGCCAAUAUACCUCUCUUGAGCUUCCCUUAGGUAACUAUAACGUUACGAAGCAUUUAGCGACUUCAAUCUAUUAGGGAUAUGACAAAAUAUACCCAUAAUUAGGAAAUGGUUCAUGUGUUCAGUUCAUCUAUGCAUUUUAUCAAGUAGUGUGCAAUUCAACUACAAGGCUUAUAUGGUGGAAUUCCUUCAUCCCACAACCAAUAGUUAACCCGUAUUAGUUCAACAAUCUCCCCACCACCUUUACUGGUAAUGCAUGCCCAAAGAACAACUCCCACUCCUAAUAAUCACACUCCCCAUUACCCAUCUUCUGCGCAAAUUCAAAAUUGAGGACUAGGAUAUGGAACCCUACCUAUUAGAAGAAGACUUGCAAGCUUUAUUUUUUGAAUUCCCAAUGCUCUAGAAGGAAUUGAAGUGGAAGAUGUGGAGAGCUCCUCCUUCUUUCUCUAGUCCAUCCCCUCUCUCUUAGACAUCAAAUUUUUGCUCCCAAAUGACCCACUUAUGCCUUUUAUUAGAAUUGGGUCGCGUUUAAAAAUACACAAAAUGGACCCUCCGAAUUGGAUCUGCAAUCACUGAUGAGACCACGAAACACGUAUGCGGUCCGCAGAAUGGACAACAAAAUGACCUCCAAAAACUUAGGUUGUCCUGGUCCUAUCUGCAGCAGAUCUGCGGUCAGCAAAUCAAUUAUGUGGCUGCGAAAUAGACUGCAAAAUCUCCCUCCGAAAUUUUUUAUGUUGUUUCUAUGAUGAAAGUGUGUUCCGCAAAGUAGUUGUACGGCCGCAUAAUUGACCACAAAAUGACCUCAAAAAUAAGCUUCUCCUGUUCAACUCCGCGGCAGCUCUACAGCCCGCGGAGUAGUUCUGUGGCCGCAUAAGGGACGGUAGUAAUGUCUUGCUCUUCCAAUUACUUCCACCAUGUUCUCAAUUCUUUGCACAACCCAAAACGUCCGUAAUGCGGAGAACUUACUCGCCAUGAAAGUUAUCUAUAACAUUCCAACACACUAUCCUACCUCGACACCCUUAAAACCUCGAGUUCUUGGUAAACUUUUACGGGGCCUUACAUCCUCCCCCCUUAGGAUCAUUCAUCCUCGAAUGAGGAAUAGAGACCGUCCAAAACAUCCAACACUGUUACUCCCACGCACCAGAAAUUCUAAAUUUGACUAACUCCCCAAAUUUUUAAAAACUUUGGCAGUGUCUCCCCUGUAUUUGGGCCUAUCCACCUGUUAGAGAACCCCAUAAACCAAUCCUAACAACAUAUUCAUAAUCCAAUGAUGUAAUCAUAGAAUGAAAAUAACACCAACCAUAACCUCGUAAGCAUUAUAUUACCAAAAGGAGCAUCUUAAACAUAAACUGUACAAAUGUAACAUAAUAUAUGGAAAGUAAGCUCAUAACAUUCUUUCAAAACAUAGCUACUUAGUUAUACAAACAAAUUAGGGUAUUUCCUUCUUAUCUCUUUCACGUCCUCCCAGGUGGCCUCUUCAACUUAUUGGUUUUUCCACAACACUUUCACGGAGGCAAUCUCUUUAUUCCUCAACUUUCAAACUUGUCUAUCAAGAAUGGAAAUCGGAAUUUCCUCAUAAGUUAAUUUUUCAUUAACCUCAAUAGUCUCUACUAGAACAAUGUACGACGAGUCUCCAGCAACCUUCCUCAACAUAGACACAUGAAACAGCGGAUGUACCAAGGAAAUCUCUGGAGGUAGCUCGAGCAUGUAAGCCCCUUGACCAAUCCUCUGAAUGAUUCUGUACGGUCCAACAUACCUCGGGCUCAAUUUCCCUUUAUUCCCAAAUCACAUUAUACCCUUCAUGGGCAAAACCUUCAAGAAUACUCAAUCAUCCUCUUUGAACUCCAAAUCUCUGUAACACACAUCCGAAUAGGACUUCUGGCGACUCUGAGCAGUUUUCAACCGUUCCUUAAUGGUCUUAACCUUCUCCAUAGCCUGAUGCACGAGGUCUGGCCCUAUAACCUCUGCUUCCCCAAUUUAAAACCACCCAAUGGGAGAUCUACAUCUCCUACCACAUAUAGCCUUGAACGGUGCAAUCCGAAUGCUAGCAUGGUAAUUGUAAUUUUUGGCAAAUUCUAUGAGCGGCAAAUGAUCAUCCCAGCUACCCUUACAAUUAAGAACACAAGCACACACCAUAUCCUCAAGCAUCUGAAUAGUCCGCUCACCUUGUCCAUCUAUCUAUGGAUGGAAGGUUGUACUAAGAUACACAUGAGUACCCAAACCUUGCCGAAAUUUCUUCCAAAAGUUAGUUGUGAACUGUACCCCCCAAUCAGAGAUAAUAGAAACUGGAGUGCCAUGCAACCUAACUAUUUCCUUGAUAUACAACUGAGCUAAUGUUCUGCUGUGUUGGUAGCCUUAACAGGUAAGACGUUUGCUGAUUUCGUAAGUUGAUCCACAAUCACCCAAAUAGAAUCAAACUUACGAGGUGUAUGAGGUAGACCUACUACAAAGUACAUAUUGAUCAUCUCCCACUUCCACAUUGGAAUUUCUAUAUUAUGUGACAAUCCACUGGGCUUCUAGUGCUCUCCAUCACUUAUUGACAAUUUAGAAAUCUAGCCACAAAGUCCGAGACAUCCCUUUUCAUGUCAUUCCACCAAUAUAUUUCUUUGAGAUAGUGGUAUAUUUUCGUAGAGUCCGGGUGCACGAAAUACCUAGAAUUGUGACGCUCAGUCAUUAUGCUUUCUCAGAGACCAUCUACAUCUAGAAAACAUAAUGGCCCUUGGUACCUUAGCGUACUAUCAUUCAUGCCAAGAGAAAAAUCCAUGUUUUGUGUUUAUGAAUCCCCUCCUUCAAUUGCACCAACAAUGGAUCAUUGUAUUGUUUCUCCUUGACCUCUACUACAAGUGAUGAUUCAGCUCUAUUUUGCACAAUUACCUCACCUUUCCUAGAGUCCGUGAGCUGAACUGCCAAACCAGCCAGCCGGUGAACAUUCUUUGCCAACAGCCUUCAAUGUUCCUCCAAGUGAGCCAAACUACCCAUGGAUUUUCAGCUAAGAGCAUCUGCCACAACAUUAGCCUUCCCCAGAUGAUAUUGAAUAUCGAUGUCAUAGUCCUUGAGUAAAUCGAGCCAUCUUUUAUGUCUCAUAUUCAAUUUCUUCUAGUUGAAUAUAUAUUGAAGGCUCUUGUGGUCCAUGAAUAUGUCCACACGAGCCCCAUAGAAAUAAUGACGCCAAAUCUUCAAUAAAAAUACCAUCGACGCAAGCUCUAAGUCAUAUGUCGGAUAAUUCUUCUCAUGAUUCUUGAGUUGCCUAGAAGCAUAAGCGAUCACCUCGCCAUGUUGCAUCACUACACACCCAAGCCCAAUCCUUGAAGCAUCACAAAAUACCACAAAUAUAUCCAUACCUUUUUGUAAGGUCAACACCGGUGUCGUAGUCAAUCUUGAUUUCAACUCUUGGAAGCUUUUUUCACAAGCAUCUGACCAUAGGAGCUUAACCGCCUACUGCGUCAAUUUAGUCAAUGGAGAGACAAGAGUAGAGAACCCCUUCAUAAAUCUCUUGUAAUACCCAGCUAAGCCCAAGAAACUGCAAAUCUCCAUUGGAGUUGUAGGUCUAGGCCAAUUUUUCACAGCUACGACCUUCUGAGGAUCAACCUUGAUCCCCUCCCUAGAGACGACAUGACCCAAGAAAGUGACAGAUUCAAGCCAAAAUUCACACUUCGAAAACUUCGCAUACAAUUUAUGCUGAUUUAGAGUUUGCAAAACUGCCCUAAGAUAAUCGGCAUGGUCGUUAUGACUUCGCGAAUUGAAAAGGAUGUCGUCAAUGAAUUCUAUCACAAAAGAGUCGGGAAAAGGCUUGAAGACUUGAUUCAUAAGAUCCAUGAAAGCUGUCGAGGCAUUCGUUAGCCCGAACGACAUCACCAAAUAUUCCAAAUGCCCAUACAAGGUCUUGAAAGGUGUUUUUGGAAUAUCCUACUCCCUAAUCUUCAAUUGGUGAUACCACGAUAUCAAGUCAAUCUUUGAGAAGUACUUAGCGCCUUGCAACUAAUCAAACAAGUCGUCUAUCCUCGGCAGUGGAUAGUUUUUCUUGGUUGUGGCCUUGUUGAGCUGCCAAUAGUCAAUACACAUUCUCACUGAUCCAUCCUUCUUUCUUACAAAGAGAACGUGUGCACCCCAAGGUGAUACACUCGACCGGAUGAAACCUUUCUCUAACAAAUCCUUCAACUGCUCCUUUAGUUCUAUCAAUUCUGCCGGCGCCAUUUUGUAGGGUGGAAUGGAUAUAGGCUGCGUGCCUGGCAUCACAUCGAUCCCAAAAUCAAUCUCCCUGUAUGGUGGGAUCCUAGGGAGCUCAUCAAGAAAGACCUUUGGAAAUUUGUUCACAACUGGCAUAGACUCAAGUAUAGGUGCCUCAGCAUCAGUGUCUAUAACUGGAUCAAAUGAUAAAUACACCCCUUGUUGAUCAACUUCGUGGCCUUAAGGUAAGAAAUAAACCUACCCUUCGGCACUACAUCAUUCCCCUACCACUCAAUGACUGGCUCUUCUGGAAACUCAAACCUGACGAUUCUAGUUCGACAAUCAAUCUUGGAAAAACAUGAAUAGAGCAAGUCCAUACCCUUUAUCACAUCAAAAUCAACCAUCCCCAAAUCAGUGAGAUCGGCAUGGUGUCUCGACCAUGCAUCGUGACAACACAAUCCCUAUAAACCCACGUGGCCAUAAUAGACUCACCAAUUGGAGUAGAUACUGAGAACGGCUCAUGAAGCUGUUCCGGUUCUAUCCCGAAUUCUAAAGCAACAUAAGGAGUGACAUAUGACAAAGUGGAACCAGGAUCUAUAAGAGAAUAUACAUUAUGAGAUUGGACAGUCAAUAUACUUGUGACAACAUAUGGAGAAGUCUCUGAACUAUGGCGACCCCUCAAAGCAUAUAAUCGGAUGGGUCCUCCCAAUAUUUAUGCACCACCCCUAGCUGCAUCAUGCCCUGUGGGUGAUGGAGUACCUCGAGCUGGAGGAGGUGCUGCAGAUGUCGUAGCUACAGAACUAGCUGGUUGUGCCGUACCCCUACCCACAUUCUGGCGGGAUGAUGGCAAACCCUCCGAAUGUGACCCAUAACGUUCCACCCGUAGUAUUUGAGUAGGUCUAUGUAGCAUACCCGUAAAUGCAUCUUCCCACACCUAGGGAAUAGGGGUAUCCGCUGCUGGUAAGAUCCUUUGUUGUCUUGACUGGGACUGAAACAAUUCCAUUGCUGCUGACUGGGCCCUGAUGGCGGUGCACUGACUAAAGACUGAGCAAAGGACUGGCUUGGUCUGGAUGACCCUCCCCUAAAUACUGACCUUCCACCACUACCACCACUAGAAGAACCACCAACGUUGUCCGCGGACCAAACUUUCUUGUUACCCUCGCGCUCCAUUUUGGCCUUCAAUCUUCGGGUCUCUGUGUCUUGGAAACAUGUAUAUAGCCUGGCUUGUCACGCCGCAUGUGCAAAUAUCGAUAAUAAUAAUAGAACGGACAACUCACUUGCAAACACCUCGACAAGUCCUCUGAACAACAUCACAUGUGCCUAAAACAUAACAACAAAAUAUAUAACAACUCACACCACAUGUACGUAUAUGAGACAACAUUUCUUACAAACAAGUCCAAUACCAUAACAACACAUAGCCCUCGGCGUAACAACACUGAAUACAACAACAACAAUAACUCGGAAGUACGUCAAAUAAAUCAACACAAGAAUUACAAAACACAAUGAAAUGGUAGAACGAGCUCACAAUAAAAGACAUAACAAGUAGUAAUGGGUUCAAAUAAGAAUAACUUGACAAUGAUAAUGUGUAACAAUGAUAUCGAAUAAGAAUAACUCAAUGAUAGGAGAGAUAACAUAGAACAAUGAUAUCAAAUAAGAAUAACUCAACAAUAGGAGAGAUAACAUUUAACAACGAUUUUCAACCAAUGAUAAAUCACAACGGAAGAGAAAACAUGGAAUAAUGACUGCAAUUAAGGAGUACCAAUUACGGAAGAGAUUACACCUGACAAUAGCUUCAAAUAAGGAUAAUCAACCAUGGAAGAGACAAUAUGUAACAAUAAAGAGGCAACAAAUACAAUUUAAAGCAUGUGAGAGUAUAUUUGGCAACAAAAGAUAGGACAUGAACCAAUAACUUCAAAUAGGGCAUGUAAGGGUAAAUUUAACAAUGAAGGAUAUAACAUGAUAAAUCAACUUCAUUUUUAUGUACAUAAGAACCUAAGAGUCUAAAAUGGUCAAUAUUUUACAUAUAAGUCGUGUACACACUCGUCACCUCAUGUACACGUCUUUCACGAAGUUCAAAUAGUGCAAAUAAACUAAUCCCUAGGGGGUGGUUCCCCCAAACUAUGUUAGGUAAGAUACUUACCUCAAAAGCCCUCAAUCAUUAAUCUAGAUAGCUUUGCCUUUAAAAUUCACCUUCGCUCGGCUCAAAUCUAACCAAAACCGACUCAAUAACAUCAAAUAAUGCAAGGGAAAUCAAUACCAAUAAUUAAAGCUAUGAUCUUUAUACAAUUCCUCGAAAGUCAAAAAAAGGUCAACCCCAGGCUCGCACGGUCAAAACCCGGGUCCAAGGGUAGGUUCCGACUACCCAUAACCCCACGAGUCUAUACAUGUGUUUUGUUUAAAAAAUCAAAGUCCAAAUCGACUCUCAAACUCUCAUUUUUCAAAAUAUAGACAAUAUUUCUCAAAAUUUCACUUUGCUUCUCAUAAUUUUGAUGUUAAAACUCACAUAUAAUCAUGUAAAAUAGUUGGAAACUGAACAAAAAUCACUUACCCAAUGAUUGCAGAUGAAAAUCCCUCUUAAAAAUCGCCUCCUACGGAGUCUAGGGUUCCAAAAUAUAAAAACGAGACCAAAUUGCCGUCCCUCAGCUUUUGUGUCCAGUCGUAGAUGUCGCAAAUGCGAGAAAAUGAUCGCAAAGCGGAAUGACCUCACACACUUUUUUUCAUUGCAAUUGCGAUGAAUAAUUCGCAAUUACGAACAUUGGAGACUUUUCAAAUGCGACCAUUAAAAUCGCAAAUGCGAACAAACUCACACAGGGGGCCCCCCAUCGCAAAUGCGAACUCUGGGUCAACAAAUGCGAACCUUGCAGACGUAGCCUAAUAUCGAUGCAACAUAUAUCUUGCAAAUGCGGACCUCCAAUACCUGAUCAACACCAACAACACUAAAACUCAUCCAAAUACUAUGAAACGUGUACGAAACUCACCCGAGCCCUCGGGGCUCCACACCGAAUAUCAACACAAGAGUAAAAAUAUAACCCAAACUCGCUCGCGCGAUCAAAACAUCAAAAUAACAUAAAAACCAUGAAUCAGACCUCCAAAACACAUGAAAUCAACAUGAAACUCAAGAACUUCUAAAAACACAACCGCGCGUCCUAUUCCUAUCAAAUUAACUCUGAAUGAUGCCAAACUUUGCGAACAAGUUUCAUAUGACAAAAUAUACCUAUUCCAAGUCCCAAAACAUAAAUCCAAACACAAGAGCUAUGAAGUCAACCUACGGUCAAACUUAUCAAAAUUCUAAGCCUUUAAAUUGCCAACUUUCGACAAAACAACACAAAUCAACCUAACGAAUUCGAUUCUGGGCAUACGUUAAAGUCCAAAAUUGCGAUACGAACCUAUUGGAGCCAUCAAAAUAUCAUUCCUGGGUCGUUUUCACAAAAGUCAAACCUCGAUCAACAUUUUAAACUUAAGCUUCUAAAGUGAGAAUCACUCAUUCAAAUUCAUCCUGAAAUAUCUAAAAAUAAAAUCUGGCCAUGCAUAUAAGUAUCCCAUGAACGGAGACCUCAAACCACUGAACAUAACAUUAAAGCUCUAAAUGACCGGUCGGGUCGUUACAAAAAAUAUACUAAAGAUAAACUCACCAUGCGAAAGGUAUCAUUGGGGUUAUCAGAUAAGUAAAGGAAUAUCAGACGACUAAAUAAUUAGGCCAGUUAGAGUAGGUAAAGUCGAGAAUCAAGGAUGUUUUAUUAUUACAUCGAAGGAGACAUGAAAUGGAAUGUUGUGAGAGGUUUUUAUGAAACAAAAUUGAGCAAUAUGAGUGAAUUGGGAAGACUAUUAAGGGACGCAAUUACGAAAGUACAUUAAGAUUCGUAGGCAAGUAAUCUCUGAGGUUACAAAGCAAUAUGGUCCACGUCUUCAUUAGAAAGGUGGAUUAGUAAUUUUAAUGGGGAUUAUUGGAAGGUCAAUUUAACCAUAUAGAUGUGAGGUGCCUCUAUCGAAUGAUGACUUGGGAUGAACUAAAACUAAGGUAUCGAUUGGAGAUUCAAAGGACUCUCACAAUAGCUAACAUUACAGUGAUAGAAAGAGUGAAUAAUUAGAAGGAAGAAGAGGAUUAGUGGGAGAAGAACCCUAAAAGAAAUUUAUAGAGAUCUCUUUGACCAGCCACAUGAAUUAAAGUUAAACUUGUCGAAAGAAGGCAUGCCAGCAAGAACGUAUGACUCGCUACGUAUAUGGACCCCCAUAAAUAGUCUCAGAGGAAAAAAGGUUACCCAUAGGUCAAUCUUAAACUACCAUGCAUACAGACCUAAGAAAGGCGGAAAGACGAGUAGUACUUCAAGCGUGAAUCAUUGGACUAUUUCCCUAAAGGGGAAAUGAGGUGGUAAAGCACUAAGUUGAGAGCACAUUUAUUUAACAAUGAAAUAAUGGGAGGAUUAGGACAAAAAGGAGUAUAAGAAACUUUAAAGUGACGCACGGGUAUAAAUGAUGUGGAAAAGAGACGAUAUGUGUUAAUAAAUUGACAAAAAGCAUAGUCAAACACUUUAUACAUGGAAAUGUUAACCGGAAGAAUGUGUUAAACUUGGUUGAUAUGACUCCAAAUGAAAUUGUUGAGAUUUAAUUGAGAAGGAAGAAAAAUCAUAAAGAGAUAGAAAGGGAUCCAAGUACAAUGACUCUUGAAAUUAAAUAUAGACCAUGUUGAUAUCUAAAUGUUGAAACCAUGCAGGAUAGUCGAGAUGAAAGCAAGAACACGGGAAUUAGUACGAUAUUUCAAGGAAACCCCUAAAGAAGAGAAACCAUCAAAGUGAAAACAACAAAGUCGACAUCAAAGAUAAGACUUAGGAUAGGCAAUAAGAAAAGGAAGUAGAAUGAAGUAUUAUGAAGGUAAGCUGUUUUACAAUGUCAGAUUCUUCUAUAAAUCGGAACCCAACCAACCAAGAAAUAUAUCAAAUGUAUAUGGUAACAACAAUAUUGAAAUCAAUAGAUGAGGUCCAAAACUAUAUAUACGAGAAAUUCAGAAUGUGUGGGAAUAAGAUCAGAGUUGCAAACAAAAUAUCAUAAUUUAAGCCAAAUAAGAAGCCGUUAACAACUAGGGGAAGUGAGAAAAAUAAGGAGGAAUGGAGAACCAUAAUUGUGUACAUGUUUCAUAUAAGACAGUUUAGAACUAGAAUAGAAAGAGCGGAAUCAAUAUUGUAACAGAUGCGUUUAGUCAUAAGUCACGGGUUGUUUGAAAAAUGAGGAAGCCCAAAAGGAAAAAGGGUUGACUAGAGGUCUUCACUAAUUAACGGUUUGGGGUACGCUUGGAAGAGUCAGUAAUAAAGGUAUAAUGGCCUAGAAUAUGACAGAGUUAUCUCUUAUAGAUAUGGAAGAUCCCCGUUUAAGGGAAAGUUAAAAGGGGUAUUCGGCAAGAGGAAACUACAACUUUUGAGUCUAUUGAAUGAGGGAUCUUGAAAUAUCAUGACCAACCGCACAUUAGGACAGAGGUUCAUUAUUUAGGAUAUUCUAUUUGUCUCGGAACGUCAAAGAUAUACCAUGAGGUCAAAGGAUUACAUUGGAAGGACGAGAUGAGAAAAUCAUUGUAUGGCUCAUGGCUUAAUAUUCCAGUUGCUAAUCGGACAAAAUAGAACAUCAGGAAUCCAAUGGACUGACAUAGAAUACUGUAACCCAAUAUGGAAAUGCAAAGUGAUUAGCAUAAGAUUCCUUACAAAUUUAGCAAGUUCUAUUCCACAUGCACGACUGUGGUUAGAUUGAUAAAAAAAAUAAGCUUACUUUUACUGGACAAAUUACCAAGGUUUAUGUAAAACGGAAGGGUGCAGAAGGUAGAUCAGGUACAUUUUAUUUCUGCCUUGAUUAUGCUUAAUAGAGGUUCUCAGAUACAGAUAAAUUCUAAAAGUCCUCUCAAGAAACUUGGGUACAUAAGAUAAUUCUAGUAAGUGAAGCGUACAAUUCCGAUGCUCAAAGAUAUGUUACAAGCUAAGAUGCCAAAUUUAACAGAAAGAUGGGAUGAUCAAUUACUAACUAUUGAGGAGCGCACAAAAAUAAUUAUAGUUGUAUUUAUACAUGCGGGAGGAUUAUACGGAUACAUUUUAAACUGUACGGAGUAGCUCCUUAUAAAGCAUGAUGCAGAAGGAAAUGUAGAUUCCCCAUAAGACAAUUUGAAAGACAUAAUUGUUUGACCGGACUUAAUGAUUCAAGUUAUAGAAAAUUCAGCCUUAUUCAAGAGUGUUUUUUCUUAGAAGCGUCAUAGAUGGAACCCCAACACGCGAUAACAAGACUUAAGGAAAUAUCGAUUUAAUAAUGAGGUGUUUCGAAAUUAUUUCUCACGAAGAGCAUAAUAACAUACCGGGACAAGCUAAUUAAGACAUAUAAAUCCACAUCCAAACUACCCAGAGAAGAGAAUAAAUUAAAUCUUCUCUUAGAAUUAGGAUCCGUUCACCUGGCUAUCGUGUUUCGAUAUAGAAGGAAUGCAUUAAAUGAUAUACAAGUAGUAGAGGGUCGAUUUUAUGAGAAAAUUUUAGUAGCUAUUAACGAAUCAGGAAUCUAUUUUGUAGAAGCACAUGAUGUUCAGAUUACAAAGAACCUAUCUUAUGAAGAGGUUCUAUUUGUUAUUUUAGAUCGGCAGUCCACAAGUUGGGGACCAAGAAAGUGACUUUCGUAAAGAUAUCAUGGAGGAAUACGAAUUUUGAAUGUAAGACGUGGGAAGUUGAAGAAGCGUUGAUUCUAAGUACCCUCAGUUGGUUCAGAUAGAAGAUUCUUGACGACUGUAGCUCGGUCAUGUGUUUUCUUAACCCGUGUUUUGUGAUUUUGAUUAACACUCAUUCUAUUAUUAACCGAUAUUUAGAAUUGAAGAGUUACAAUGUUUUCAAGAUUAGGUUUAUUUAGAAACAAGGUAUGGGAUAGUCCUAUUUCCAGAGGAGACUCUCGAAAUUUCCGUAAAAUCCGCAAGGGCUAGUUUCUUCUCUAAGACUCCUUUACAUUCGAGGACGAAUGUUCCAAAUAGGGGAAAAGACGUUACACCUCGUACUUUUAUGUUAGAAUUCAUAUUAAGUGAAUCAAUAUGAGUUGGAGAGUCGAAGGACCUUUACAAAGAUAAUGAUGGGUUAAAACAAGUUCUAAGGAAGUAUCAUGAGGGUUGAAAGAUUAAGAAGCUAAACGAAUCGAAGAAAAUAAGUUUCAUCGAAAAUCGACAAGUUAAACAUGUUAUAACCCGUACUUUUAGGGUGAGACUAGGGUUCUUAAGAUGAUAAGAAGCUAAUGUUAUGAGGUAUUUUUUUGUAUUAUAGUCGUGUGUUAUAUUUUAAAGUCAAACGAAUUGUUAAACAAAAGUAGUCACAAGUUAUGUUGAUAAAGUUUAAUGAAAUUUAGGUCAAAUGUCACUAAGCGUUUCUUUCAACGUACAUGGAUUUACGGGGUGAUCCACCCACCAAAUUGAAUAUAUACGAGUGUAGUUUCUAAUGCAUUAAAUUGUUCGUCGAUACAACAUUGUAGUAUAGAGAUACGUGUUCGCAAGAGUGCACAAGCAGCUCCCUAUGGGAGCCACUUAGGCGGUUGAGAUAUCUUGAUAUAUAUGUGACACAUACAGCCCGUUUUCACUCACUAUUUUUAAUUAUAUUUAGACCCUUGACACCUAAAAACCUUCUCUCAAAGUUAUCGCAUGAUCCAAGACCCAUACAAAGGACAAACAACUUAAAUCAAGUGUCGGAAAUCCCGUGGCGCUAGUGAGUUUCUUGUUCUUCUUGUAGUUGUUGAUUUUGGUGUGGUUCCAGCUCGUGUUGGGGGUUAUUUUGAGUGUUUUAUGUUCUGUAAAAUACUCUCCCAAGUUUUUCAUAUCAACCCUAGGUGAUUUCAGGUCUUCCAAAGUGAUUCUAGUGUCGAGAAACCCGAAGUGCUUGCUAGUUUGGCUUCCUUCUUUUUGUGGCUGCGUUGGAAGGAUACUUCAUGGUGAAAUAAAGUAAUCUCAAAUUGGAGUUGUUAUAUCUGUUUUAAGGUGAGUAACCUCUUACUCUAUAUGUAUUUAAGCUUAUCCAAGUUGCGGCUAAGUCGUUGAAGCUAGAACUUGUGAGAUAUCUGUCGAAAGGCUUGUUAAUACUGUUGUUGAUUGGUGGACUGUUUGGGAGGCUUAAUACGAUUAUUAUUAUUAAUGUUGUUUGGGAUUUUUAGUGAAUGUGGUGACUUGUGGGAAGUCAAAUAAAUAGGGGAGAUGUUAUCCGUUUUAUCAUAAAAUAGGUUGCGAUCGAUAUAUAAUAGUUACGACGCUUAAACGAUAAUGAUAGUAUCAUUUCUCAUAUUGUAGACUGAGAGAUGUGAAAUUUGCAUAGCUUGUGGUUUGGAAGUAUAUACAAGGUCUGGGAGGCUAUCCGUUUCAUUCUUUUGCACGACUCUGAUGGUAAGUAGCGUAAAUAAACGUGCUUCCAAAGAUACUCCAUUCUUAGAAGCUAGCAGUACUUACAUUGUUUCCCUUCUUAUGAAAUGAUUGGUGUUAAUGUUGCUUUUCUUAUUCUUAUGUUGUCAAUAUUGUUGGUAUUUCCUGAUUCUUAUAAAAUUCAUGAUGACGAGUUAGCUCCAAUAACGUAUACGGAGGUUAUAGAACUUACGUCACUCCGAAAGGUUCAGAAUGUGAUUCCCAUUAGUCUAGCAUGCAUUAUAUAUAUGUACCUAAUUUACACUACCGAGCCCCGCUAUAGUCGGCCGGAUACGACACCUAUUGUGCCACCACUGAUCAGUUGGGUUUUACUGAGCUCCAAGUGGCCGAGUAUGAUUCUACUCAGCCUUGUGAUGACUGGGUAUGUUUUUACCGAGUCCGCUUCGAGGCCUGGUAUGAUAUGAUGAUGAUGAUGAUGAUGAUGAUGAUGACCAUAGAGCCGUAUGGUUUUAAAAGUAUAUGUGUAUAUAUAUAUGUAUCAUGCAUUUUCUGUCCGUCGCCCUCAGAGGCACUCAGAUGUUACACAUUGUCUCUUCUCUAUCUCUCUUUACAUUAUUGUUCUUAUUUAUGCUUUCCUGCCUUAUAUACACAUUACUUUAUUCAUACUGAUGUCUCUUUUAUUUAUGGGCGCCGCAUUUCAUGUAGCAAUUCUGGAUAGAUAGAUUGACGGUAUUCACAGUACGCUACCAGUUCAGCAUGAAGUGCUGUUGCACUCUAAUUGUCUCGAAGUUGCCUUUCGAGUCAGUAUACUUAUGUACAUAUAUUUAUGGUUAUGGUGGGGCCAUGUCCCAACCUUAUGCUUUUAUGUAAUCCUUAGAGUCUUGUAGAUAGAUAUCAUGUGUAUAAAUAUUUUGUUCGGCCUUGUAGGCCCCCGUGUAUCUCAUGUAUAUCAUUUUGGGUUUG
Molecule: long non-coding RNA, 30970 nt
Filed under: Nicotiana tabacum (common tobacco)
Lineage: Eukaryota; Viridiplantae; Streptophyta; Magnoliopsida; Solanales; Solanaceae
Description: long non-coding RNA (NTAB_LNC000344)
Source: RNAcentral